AUGAGCACAAACACCACUUUCAGCGAUAACACCGUGUUGCGAAUAUUCACCAAUGAGUCCUUUCAAUCGGACGAUGUUCGUGUCGCGGCUGGAGUGAUCAAAUCGUCAGCAGAGUACCUCCGACUGUUUACUGAGGAGGCUAUUGCCCUGGCCAUCAGACAGAAAGAAGAGACCGGAGAGACAGUUGACUCACGUGAUCUUGAUCGAGUCAAGGAGGAGUUGAGAGAUGGCUUCUGAUAGCGAUUCCGUCACUUCUGAAUGUGUGUCCUGCACCGUGACUCGACCGUGCUCGAAGAACUUGUUAUGAGUCUGCGACGAUUGUUACUUGCGUAAUGACGCUCACACAGCCACCCUACAGUAGAGAAUUACUGGUGCAAUCCGAAGACAACAGCAACUCCUGGAGGACCUUUUGGACAGACGCCGCUGUGACUUUCAUCCCAGUUCAUCUGGAUAGGAAUAGCAUUGCCUUACCAGAUGCCGGUCUUGAAGGGAUACGUGUGUGGAAAGUUAUGUUCGCUUCUUGCCUGGAUAAAUGUCUUUGCAGAGAGACGAAACGAUUUGCUAGUGUGGCGUUUAUCUCUUUUCCCGCCAUGAUCCUCCAUUAAAUGCAUGUCAACCAGCUCACACGGCACUGAUGUGUCAACCAGCUAAUAUAUCCAAUUGGAUCAUCG
This 671-nucleotide unclassified non-coding RNA is filed under the name Yarrowia lipolytica. The record is from RNAcentral. Lineage: Eukaryota; Fungi; Ascomycota; Dipodascomycetes; Dipodascales.